RNAcentral lists this ribosomal RNA (785 nucleotides) under uncultured Bacillota bacterium. RNAcentral's name for it is "bacterial SSU rRNA". It matches the Rfam family "Bacterial small subunit ribosomal RNA", at positions 58 to 850 of the family's 1533-position model. The record is from RNAcentral. Lineage: Bacteria; Bacillati; Bacillota.
CAAGUCGAGCGAGAGGGGGUAGCAAUACCCUAGUAAAGCGGCGCACGGGUGAGUAACACGUGGAUAACCUGCCUCGAAGUGGGGAAUAACCCCGGGAAACCGGAGCUAAUACCGCAUAUUCUGACGAGGUCUGCGGAUUUUGUCAGGAAAGGAGCAAUUCGCUUUGAGAGGGGUCCGCGGCUGAUUAGCUAGUUGGUGAGGUAAUGGCUCACCAAGGCCACGAUCAGUAGCCGGUCUGAGAGGACGGUCGGCCACACUGGAACUGAGACACGGUCCAGACUCCUACGGGAGGCAGCAGUGGGGAAUUUUUCGCAAUGGGGGCAACCCUGACGAAGCAACGCCGCGUGGGUGAUGAAGUAUUUCGGUACGUAAAACCCUUUCGACGGGGAAGAAACCGCAAGGUUGACGGUACCCGUAGAAGAAGCCCCGGCUAACUCCGUGCCAGCAGCCGCGGUAAUACGGGGGGGGCAAGCGUUGUUCGGAAUUACUGGGCGUAAAGGGCGCGUAGGCGGUUCGCUAAGUUGGAUGUGAAAACUCUGGGCUUAACCCAGAGCCUGCAUCCAAAACUGGCGAACUGGAGUACUGGAGGGGAAAGCGGAAUUCCUGGUGUAGCGGUGAAAUGCGUAGAUAUCAGGAGGAACACCGGUGGCGAAGGCGGCUUUCUGGACAGUAACUGACGCUGAGGCGCGAAAGCUAGGGGAGCAAACAGGAUUAGAUACCCUGGUAGUCCUAGCCCUAAACUAUGGAUACUUGGUGUGAGGGGGAUUGAAUCCCUUCGUGCCGUA